UUGGAGUAAAACACGGUGGAAGCUGAAUUAGUGAGGAUGACUCCUGCUCCUGUCAUCUCUAAGCUCCUCACACAUCUUUACCUGCACAUGAGGAAACUCACUCCUGUAGAAUGCAGUGGUUCAUCAGAACCUCUGGGGAUGUCCUGUGGAUUCUGUGGAUCCUGUGGGUUGCAGGGUGGAUCCUACCUGGACCAGGCUGAUCCUGGACCAUCCCACAGAUGCUCAAUCAGAUGUGGAUGUGGGGAGUGUGGAACCCAGAUGUUCAGAGGGAGAUGAUGCCACAUCUGGUCCAGCUGAUGGAAGGUCUUGAAGUUCUCUGACUGACCUCGACUGAAGAUGGUCGUCUCACUGGAUUUAAGGUUCAGAUGCUCAGUAACAAACUCCACCAAUGAGCCAACAGGUAAACUUUAGGUUUAUUAAAUGUUGCUAUGAAGGUUUCGCUGUUUUUCUUUGUGAAUGCAAUGUGCUCCAACUGAAACUUGAAUUAGAACUUAGAAGUAAAUCCUUCCAUCUGAAAGGAUUUAGUUGCAUUAAUAACCUCAUAACAUUCUAAUUUUUAUUCCAGUCUUGGUUGAUAAUAGAAUCUCUGUAUUGAUUCAGGUAAAAACUGAACUUCACAGCAUGUUGGAGAAAAACAACCAGAUGAAAACUGUGAUGGUGUUGGAUUGUCAGACCGUAAUGUUGCAGCUCAAAGCAGCUUUUCUAUCUCAGUUCAUUCUGACAUUCAGCUAUGAAUCAACACAGCAGAUGGUGAUCCAUGCUGUGGAAGUCUCACAUCUCCUGAUUUAAUGGAGCUGCUUUGCACUUUUUACAGUUUAUUCACCAACACUUUAUUUAAUAAAAGUCCCAUCUAGUUUUUAUGAGGAAUGUGAUGUUUUAAUUUCUCUGUGAAUAACUGCAGUCUAAUGCAACAGCUGGAGUUGUAACAUCUGUCCUGAUAUUUAUCAUGAAGUAUUGAUCAGAAUACUUAUGGUUAGCAGUCAUCCCUGAAGUUUUACAUUAAAAUCUUUACUUGUGUUGUGAACUUUGGUAAGAAGCAGAAAUUUUAGCGUUGCCAUGGAUACAUGAGUGUUAAAUUCUGUCCAUGUUUCCAUUUUGGGAAAUUCAGUCCAGUUCCAGAAUGUGGAGGAAUUUAGUCUCACAAUUACAGACAACAAAUAUUAUCUGAAAGUCGGGUUAUUGUUGUUUAUCAGCACAAUACAAAAAGAUUAAUGUUAGAAAUAUUCCAGUUCAGACUCUAGAAUAUCAUGAUUUAUGUAAAUUUACCUCAAUAAUAUGAACGUUCAGGUUAAGAUUGUACAGUGAUAUUAAUUUUGUAAGUUUAGCUGAUUAAAGUUUAUGACUCUGCACUAAAAUAUUAUUUAAAUUGACAUCAUUAUUAUAAUAUUUAGGGUCAGACCCUACAGUAUUGAGAUUAAGAAAUCAAAUAUUCUAUAAAAUGUAAAUACACUGAACUCAUUUGGAUAUAUUUAAGUGAAACUCUACCAUAUUAUUUGACACAAAUCUAUCUAAAUCAAAAUUUCAAUAAUUUUCACGCCAAACAUUUACUGGACUGAUUUAAACAUUAAAAUCACUCCUUUCCAAUCCUCUGCUGUACGUUCAAACCUGAGGCCUUAAAUAGAAACACACAAGUAUCUGAUUGAAGGAACUUCUGCAGAGUCCUGGUUCCAGAACAUGAUGAUAGAAUUAUAGACAAACUUUAACAAAAGCUGCCUGAGAGUUUACAGGUUUUUAUGUUGGAUUUCUUCAGUAAUUUAAAGAGAGUUAUCAGCAAAAAUCAAGUGUUCAUUUGAUGAACUUCAUUUCCUCAAACAUCCAGAAUUGGAGCUCAUAUCUUUGGCAGCUGUAAAGUUUCUGCUCCUUCAAAGUUGAUAACACAAUGAAUGAAUUCCUAAAACACUCUCAAUGCUGGAGAGUGUUUGUGAUGCUGAAGCAGUGACCAGUUUUUCUGUUUCUUCUCUGGAGAUACACAAUGAGGGACGUCUGCAGAGACUGAGAAAGAGUCUCACCACAUCCUGACAUGAGGAAAAAGACUUUAUUGAAGACUACAAUGAGAAAAACUAUCAGACAGCAGACGGCUGCAUUCAAGUCUGUAGCUGCUGAAUUCAUGGAUGAAUCAUCUGGCACUAGAGAAGAAGACCAUCAAACAUCCACGUCAGCUGAUGGAGGUCCAAGAGUCUCACCGAAGAACCAACCUACAGAGUGAAGACCUCAAAUCUGAUUGGACGGCCUCCUAUUCAGCCACA
Amphiprion ocellaris (clown anemonefish) is the source of this 2246-nucleotide long non-coding RNA. RefSeq lists it as uncharacterized. NCBI's taxonomy places the organism in Eukaryota, Metazoa, Chordata, Actinopteri, Pomacentridae. The transcript is spliced from 5 exons. The record is from RefSeq and is a predicted model, not a curated record.